UUUUGCUGUGAAAUGAACCAAUACACAUUGUCUGGAAGCCAUAUGUUUUUUUUCCAUUCUCUUAUUCCACUUUGCCACCUGUUUUGUGGAUUCACUUCAAGGAUCAGGAAGAAGACAAUUUUGCCAGUGUUUGUUGCUAUGGGGGUAAACAAUGGAGACCACUCAAUUUUUAAGGGAGAAUUCGAGGAAGAUGGAUCUAUGGAGAGAGUGAUCCUUUCUCUUGAACCUGGCAUCGCCACAAUUGAAUGAAUUAUCACACCUCGAAUUACACUGACAACUGCUGAGUAUUUGGCUUAAGAAUGUGGGAAACAUGUCUGGUUAUAUUGACAGAUAUGAGUUCUUAGGCAGAUGCUGUUCGUGAGGUAUCUGCUGCUCUGAAGAAGUCCCUGGAAGGCGUGGGUAUCCUGGUUAUAUGUAUACUGAUUUGGCCACUAUUUAUGAAUGUGCGGGGCGUAUAGGAGGAAAAGGUUCCAUCACCUAAAUUCCUAUUUUGACCAUGCCUAAUGAUGAUCAAGAACCAAAGAAAUCGGAGUUAGAUCGAGGAAAAGUUAAAGUCGUCGACUAAUCGUCCGGUUUCGAUUUGACACUGUCCGAGAUCAAGCUUCAAGCUCGGGGAUCGUCAGCAAGAUCAUCACUCUAUCUACUGUCUCGGUAUUAAACUGUUUAAAUUUUAAUUAUGGCAUGUACAGGCUAGAUAAAUGUUUUGGAAAGUCGUACUUUGAUAUAUUGUAUAUGAAAUUAAUAGUCAUACGAAAAUUAAUUAUAUUCUUAUGCUUUAACUGGAUUGUAAUUUUAAAGAGAAGUUUAAAAUUUUACAUGUUUAAUAUUAGACCUAGCAAUUUAUAUGUAACCGUUAAAAUUAUUGAACUAUACUGAA
Gossypium raimondii (Peruvian cotton) is the source of this 877-nucleotide long non-coding RNA. RefSeq lists it as uncharacterized. The transcript has 5 exons. The record is from RefSeq and is a predicted model, not a curated record. NCBI's taxonomy places the organism in Eukaryota, Viridiplantae, Streptophyta, Magnoliopsida, Malvales, Malvaceae.